CUGCCAUUUAAAAAAUUUUAAAUAAAUGACCUGUCCCUGGCAGACUUUUACGUGUUUCCUACUUCCCGGUGCCUCCAUUCUAGGCCCUGAGGCACAAACAAAUGGCGAGCGCCUCCAAUCAAACAUCAAAAUGCCAUGGGCGCCUGGGUGGCUCAGUGGGUUAAGCCGCUGCCUUCGGCUC
Lutra lutra (Eurasian river otter) is the source of this 181-nucleotide long non-coding RNA. RefSeq lists it as uncharacterized. NCBI's taxonomy places the organism in Eukaryota, Metazoa, Chordata, Mammalia, Carnivora, Mustelidae. The record is from RefSeq and is a predicted model, not a curated record. The transcript is spliced from 3 exons.